CCUACGGGUGGCAGCAGUGAGGAAUAUUGGUCAAUGGGCGGGAGCCUGAACCAGCCAUGCCGCGUGAAGGCGAGUGCCCUACGGGCGUUAAACUUCUUUUGUGCGGGAGCAAUAAGGGCCACGUGUGGCCCGAUGAGAGUACCGCUAGAAUAAGCAUCGGAUAACUCCGUGCCAGCAGCCGCGGUAAUACGGGGGAUGCGAGCGUUAUCCGGAUUUAUUGGGGUUAAAGGGUGCGUAGGCGGCGCUUCAGGUCAGCGGUGAAAUACCGGGGCUCAACCCCCGGGCUGCCGUUGAAACCGGGGCGCUAGAAUACCGAUGAGGUCGGAGGAAUGCGUGGUGUAGCGGUGAAAUGCAUAGAUAUCACACAGAACACCGAUUGCGAAGGCAUCCGACGAAACGGAGAUUGACGCUGAUGCACGAAAGCGUGGGUAUCGAACAGGAUUAGAUACCCUGGUAGUC
This 459-nucleotide ribosomal RNA is filed under the name uncultured bacterium. RNAcentral's name for it is "partial 16S ribosomal RNA". It matches the Rfam family "Bacterial small subunit ribosomal RNA", at positions 338 to 795 of the family's 1533-position model. The record is from RNAcentral.